UUGCCGAGGAGCACCCUCGACAUCCCCGCACGCGCCUUUCAAUGGCCGGCCGUGGUCAUCACCGACGCGCUCCGGCCAUCCCCGCCGCUGCAGUAGCUCUCCUCCUGGACGGCGGCACUCGAACCUGCCGUAUGGUUCGUCGGGUGGGUGCCCAACGACCAGCAGCACUGCUGGCUGCUCCUCGACCCCGUGGUGAGCGGUCACUGCGAAAACGAUGCCGGCCACCAUGCCUCAUCCAAGCUCACCAUGGGUGCUGAGCCAACACCGUCAUCUCCUCGCCACCAAAGUUCUUGAUAGGAGUUUUUGGCCUGCAGGGCCUUGCCCAUGCCGACGCCCAAGCCCGUCAGCCCCGCCCCUCGCCCUUCACAGCCGGCGAAGACGAGAUGCUCUCGGUAAAGUACGUCGGCAGGCGCCCUCUCUAGGCAAGCGCAGCUACGGCGUGAGGCAUCGCUCUGCUCGCCUACCUUGGCUCCCGCAGCGGAGAGUACCAUCGUUAGCCUCUUCCUCGAGUUCGUGUUGGGCGGCUCGCUUGCCGAUGAAGUGGAGAGGAACGGGGCAGCCUCGAGGAGUCUGGGCGUUCUCAAGGCGAGGAGAGAUCUGUCGCUAGGCUGCGUCGCCUGGAUGCCCCGGGACGAGUUGAUCCACUGCCUUGUGCUGGUCGUUGAGGGAGAUAUUCCUGCUUGAGAUCUACCACGGCACGCUGCACGGCGCCAAUGGGUUUGGGGGUGAGUAGAGGUACUCGCAGCAUGACCCGGUCUUCGCCAAUCCUGACUGCGCUGGAGAACCAAAUACUGCUGUUUGUGUUGGACCUCCUGCUCGGGAUCGAACUCGGCCAUAUUGAGCAGUCGCCAUGGCCAUCCUCGAUGUGCGGCUCUUUUACCCCUUCAUGCCCACCGACACACUAACAGUUUGCUGCAGGGCUUCAUGUACUGGAUGGCCUCCACGGUGCUGAUGUCUUCUUUGUCUCGAUGAUGCCCCUCGGACUGUUCUUCUUGCCCCUGUUCCUGAGAGGAGUACUGCACCUGAGCCUGCGAGGGAGAAGAUGCGUACAUGUCCAACCGCAAGUUAAAAUGUCAUUUUGAGAGUUUGAUUUUAAAGAAGCUUCGACAUAUUCUAUGGCAGAGGCGCUCCCGUCGUCCCCCGCCAGGACGGUGGCACCCGAUCCUUUGCAUCUACGGCCGUCGUCGAGACGCGCAUGCCGUCCCCCGGGAUGGUGGCAGCCAGGUCCCACCUGCUGGUCCGCUUGUGGAGGGAUGGCCUGAUACUGUCGGCUGGUCCGAGUGUGGAGGGAUGCAGCCGUGCCGACAGCAUCCAUUGGCUCGGGCUUGCUUCCAGUUUCUCUCCCGUCCAUGUUUGAGUCGUCAAAGGACAAAGAGGCUAAGGUGAUUAGUGCAACUUUAGCUAAUAUAUAAAGACCACACAAGUUAAAGGUGAGAUGAAGUAUUCAGCUGACAGAGAGCAGUCUUCACAUGCGACACCAAAUGUGAAGCAGCGUGCAUAUCUCAUCAAACUUGAUAUUACUCUUGCAAUUAAUUCAAGACCAUCUCCUAUACUCCGUAGUUUCGCUACGCCAUUGAGCAGUGAGUAGAAUAUACAAUUCAUCUGAAUCUGUAGUCUUAUUGAUUCCAUGUCCUUUAAAAAAGUCCCCAGGUUGUUUCUUUUCUUGGUGGACUAUUCCUCAAUUGACAGACCAUACGCUGCAUCUUAUAGACUCUUUUCUGAACUGUUUAUCUUAAGUUGCUUUGUGGAAUGCUUGACAACAUACUUUUGUAGGUUGUGGUAGCAGCAGAGACAAGAAACUCCUUAGGUUGCAUGGUUAGGCAGCUGCCAAACGACCAGUUUGAAACCAAAGGAAGAAGGUUUAUCUAUGGCAGACCUGAAAAUACAAGAGCGGCUAGAACUAUUGGAUCAGCAAAUGCCUACUUUGCAAAAAUAAAGUUACCUGUGGAAAGCAGAACAUGCUAGAAUAAUGUAUUGUAGAUUUCAAGAAUCUUUAUGACACAUGGUUAUAUUCACUUUCAUAUUUGUGUGAUAUAAGUAACACUUCGUCACAGGAAAUUCUGUUUUUUCUAUUCUACUUUUAAGGGUAUUCUUUUGGUCUAAUUAAACAGGUAAUUGCAACUCUCUUGAAAUAGGUAAUUGCGAGUCUCUUAAACAGGUAAUUUGUCACGCGAAGGCAAAUUCUUCUUGGACUUUGGUGAGAUUGCAGAUCUAUGUAGUAGUGCAGAAAGAAUGUUUUCAACUGAACCAAUCAUCAUAAAGCUUAAAGGGUCCAUUAAGAUAUUUGGUGAUUUGCAUGGUGAAUUUGUCAUCUGAUGUGUUUGUUUCAUUAGUAUGGUUCUCCCUCAACAGCGGGAGAUACUGCGUGAGCAUCUUUUUGAUUUUUUAUUCUGAGGAUUUGCUGAUAUCAAAGGACUGCUUAAACA
Lolium perenne is the source of this 2426-nucleotide non-coding RNA. Lineage: Eukaryota; Viridiplantae; Streptophyta; Magnoliopsida; Poales; Poaceae. The record is from RefSeq and is a predicted model, not a curated record.